UACGGAGGGUGCGAGCGUUGUUCGGAAUUACUGGGCGUAAAGCGCGUGCAGGCGGCCGACUAAGUCCGGUGUGAAAGCCCGGGACUCACCCCCGGAAGUGCGCUGGAAACUGGUUGGCUAGAGUACGGGAGAGGGAAGUGGAAUUCCUGGUGUAGCGGUGAAAUGCGUAGAUAUCAGGAGGAACACCGGCGGCGAAGGCGGCUUCCUGGACCGAUACUGACGCUGAGACGCGAAAGCGUGGGGAGCAAACAGG
Molecule: ribosomal RNA, 253 nt
Filed under: uncultured bacterium
Lineage: Bacteria
Description: partial 16S ribosomal RNA
Rfam family: Bacterial small subunit ribosomal RNA
Source: RNAcentral